CGGGGGCCGCCCGGGGCUGCUCCGGUAAGGGGUCCGACCGCGGGCGGAGAGCGCCAAGCCGUGGAGGAGCGGGCGUCAGGUGCAGAACUUCUGUAAGGUCUGGAAGCCGGACGUGCGUGGACGUUCAUACGCACGGACCUGAAGUUACGGAGGUCGCACUCACAGGCCGUUCUGCUGCACAGACCGGAGCCCCCGCUGCCAGUGUGUGUCCACCUGUACAGGAUUACCACCACCAUCUGAGAUAUCUGAUCAUUUCUCCAAUUAUAAGAUCCUCAUCCAUCUAG
RNAcentral lists this long non-coding RNA (284 nucleotides) under Fukomys damarensis (Damara mole-rat). RNAcentral describes it as "lncRNA (ENSFDAG00000025643.1)". Lineage: Eukaryota; Metazoa; Chordata; Mammalia; Rodentia; Bathyergidae. The record is from RNAcentral.